GAUGAACGCUAGCUACAGGCUUAACACACGCAAGUCGAGGGGAAACGACAUCGAAAGCUUGCUUUCGAUGGGCAUCGACCGGCGCACGGGUGAGUAACGCGUAUCCAACCUGCCCACCACUUGGGGAUAACCUUGCGAAAGUAAGACUAAUACCCAAUGAUAUCCCUAGAAGACAUCUGAAAGAGAUUAAAGAUUUAUCGGUGAUGGAUGGGGAUGCGUCUGAUUAGCUUGUUGGCGGGGUAACGGCCCACCAAUGCGACGAUCAGUAGGGGUUCUGAGAGGAAGGUCCCCCACAUUGGAACUGAGACACGGUCCAAACUCCUACGGGAGGCAGCAGUGAGGAAUAUUGGUCAAUGGGCGAGAGCCUGAACCAGCCAAGUAGCGUGCAGGAUGACGGCCCUAUGGGUUGUAAACUGCUUUUAUAAGGGAAUAAAGUGAGUCUCGUGAGGCUUUUUGCAUGUACCUUAUGAAUAAGGACCGGCUAAUUCCGUGCCAGCAGCCGCCGUAA
RNAcentral lists this ribosomal RNA (508 nucleotides) under uncultured bacterium. RNAcentral's name for it is "partial 16S ribosomal RNA". It matches the Rfam family "Bacterial small subunit ribosomal RNA", at positions 28 to 523 of the family's 1533-position model. The record is from RNAcentral.